AUGAACGCUGGCGGCGUGCCUAAUACAUGCAAGUCGAGCGAACAGAUAAGGAGCUUGCUCCUUUGACGUUAGCGGCGGACGGGUGAGUAACACGUGGGUAACCUACCUAUAAGACUGGGAUAACUUCGGGAAACCGGAGCUAAUACCGGAUAAUAUUUCGAACCGCAUGGUUCGAUAGUGAAAGAUGGUUUUGCUAUCACUUAUAGAUGGACCCGCGCCGUAUUAGCUAGUUGGUAAGGUAACGGCUUACCAAGGCGACGAUACGUAGCCGACCUGAGAGGGUGAUCGGCCACACUGGAACUGAGACACGGUCCAGACUCCUACGGGAGGCAGCAGUAGGGAAUCUUCCGCAAUGGGCGAAAGCCUGACGGAGCAACGCCGCGUGAGUGAUGAAGGUCUUCGGAUCGUAAAACUCUGUUAUUAGGAAAGAACAUACGUGUAAGUAACUGUGCACGUCUUGACGGUACCUAAUCAGAAAGCCACGGCUAACUACGUG
This 496-nucleotide ribosomal RNA is filed under the name uncultured bacterium. Its description in RNAcentral is "partial 16S ribosomal RNA". It matches the Rfam family "Bacterial small subunit ribosomal RNA", at positions 29 to 507 of the family's 1533-position model. The record is from RNAcentral.